RNAcentral lists this ribosomal RNA (428 nucleotides) under uncultured prokaryote. Its description in RNAcentral is "bacterial SSU rRNA". It matches the Rfam family "Bacterial small subunit ribosomal RNA", at positions 355 to 774 of the family's 1533-position model. The record is from RNAcentral.
UGAGGAAUUUUGCGCAAUGGGAGCAAUCCUGACGCAGCAACGCCGCGUGGGUGAUGAAGGCCUUCGGGUCGUAAAGCCCUGUCAGGUGGGAAGAAUGUCCCGGGACUGAACAGGUUUCGGGAGUGACGGUACCACCAGAGGAAGCACCGGCUAACUCCGUGCCAGCAGCCGCGGUAAUAAGGAGGGUGCAAGCGUUAUUCGGAAUUAUUGGGCGUAAAGGGCGUGUAGGCGGCCCUGCAAGUCUGAGGUGAAAGCCCCGGGCUUAACCCGGGAAGUGCAGUGGAAACUGCAGGUCUUGAGUACUGGAGAGGAUGGGGGAAUUCCCGGUGUAGAGGUGAAAUUCGUAGAGAUCGGGAGGAAUAUCAGUGGCGAAGGCGCCCAUCUGGACGGUAACUGACGCUGAGACGCGAAAGCGUGGGGAGCAAACA